CAGAGGAAAGAGCAGGAGGAUAGAAAAGAAGGGAGAGCCUAAGAGGUGGGCAGAUGGAAAAGGAGUGAGGGAAGAAAGAAGAGCAGAAGAGUAGAGCCAAUGCAGAAGAAAGAGGAGUGAGGAAGCAGGGAAACAUACAGCAGAAGAGAAAAGCAGAUGCAGGUGAAAGAGCAGUGGUGAGAUGCAAUGGAAACCAUCAGAAGAGUGAGGAUACAAGGAGGAAAGAACAGAAGAGGAGCACAGCUGCCCGAGAAUGAGCAGUGAGAAUACAGGGAAGAAAGAGGAGGAGGAGAGCAGAUGCAGAAGAAAAGAGACGUCACGUUACAGGGAAGAAAAGCAGGGCAGAUGAAGUACGGAGAGGAAGCAGGGGAAAAAAACGCUGAAGAGCAAGGAUAGAGAUGAAAGAGCAGUGAGGAUACACAGAGGAUAGAACAGCAGAAGAGAAGCAGAAGAGAAAAAACAGGAAAAGAGUGAGAAUGCAGACGGAAAAGCAGGGAGAAUACAGGGAAGAACCAAGAGCAUAAGAGAAGUGCAAAUGCAAAAGCAAGCGAGGCUACAGGGAAGAAAGGACAGCAGAAGGGGAGUGCAGGUGCAGAUCCCCCAAACACAGCACUCCCUGCCCGCUAGGGUUGCGGGUGCGACGCAGUCACCACAAUGACGUCGAGGAUCAAUGCCGGGUAAUUCAGUGAGCGUUCCAACAAAGAAUCAAGGAAAAAACUGCCAGGCAAAACUAAGAAACCUUCUGGCAACAGGUCUUCAACGUUACGCGUAGAGUCCUUUGGAACAGGAGUUGUUUCUGUGUCAACAACUUGAAGAUCAAAUCAGGCAACGGCUACGAAAGAAAAACGAGUCACAUAACAUGGAGAGCAAAGAAGAGAAGAGAGAGGAAACAGAGAGGUGCCAGCACUGCCGCCCGGGGUGGGCAGCAGGCUGCUGGUGCCAGCGUCAUCAUGGGCGGCGGCCAGCACUGGCCACGCUGUCACCGCGUCGCCG
This 993-nucleotide long non-coding RNA is filed under the name Gallus gallus (chicken). RNAcentral describes it as "lncRNA (ENSGALG00010000378.1)". Lineage: Eukaryota; Metazoa; Chordata; Aves; Galliformes; Phasianidae. The record is from RNAcentral.